This 873-nucleotide ribosomal RNA is filed under the name Escherichia coli. RNAcentral's name for it is "partial 23S ribosomal RNA". It matches the Rfam family "Bacterial large subunit ribosomal RNA", at positions 319 to 1194 of the family's 2925-position model. The record is from RNAcentral. Lineage: Bacteria; Pseudomonadati; Pseudomonadota; Gammaproteobacteria; Enterobacterales; Enterobacteriaceae.
AGUGUGUGUGUUAGUGGAAGCGUCUGGAAAGGCGCGCGAUACAGGGUGACAGCCCCGUACACAAAAAUGCACAUGCUGUGAGCUCGAUGAGUAGGGCGGGACACGUGGUAUCCUGUCUGAAUAUGGGGGGACCAUCCUCCAAGGCUAAAUACUCCUGACUGACCGAUAGUGAACCAGUACCGUGAGGGAAAGGCGAAAAGAACCCCGGCGAGGGGAGUGAAAAAGAACCUGAAACCGUGUACGUACAAGCAGUGGGAGCACAGAGCAAUCUGUGUGACUGCGUACCUUUUGUAUAAUGGGUCAGCGACUUAUAUUCUGUAGCAAGGUUAACCGAAUAGGGGAGCCGAAGGGAAACCGAGUCUUAACUGGGCGUUAAGUUGCAGGGUAUAGACCCGAAACCCGGUGAUCUAGCCAUGGGCAGGUUGAAGGUUGGGUAACACUAACUGGAGGACCGAACCGACUAAUGUUGAAAAAUUAGCGGAUGACUUGUGGCUGGGGGUGAAAGGCCAAUCAAACCGGGAGAUAGCUGGUUCUCCCCGAAAGCUAUUUAGGUAGCGCCUCGUGAAUUCAUCUCCGGGGGUAGAGCACUGUUUCGGCAAGGGGGUCAUCCCGACUUACCAACCCGAUGCAAACUGCGAAUACCGGAGAAUGUUAUCACGGGAGACACACGGCGGGUGCUAACGUCCGUCGUGAAGAGGGAAACAACCCAGACCGCCAGCUAAGGUCCCAAAGUCAUGGUUAAGUGGGAAACGAUGUGGGAAGGCCCAGACAGCCAGGAUGUUGGCUUAGAAGCAGCCAUCAUUUAAAGAAAGCGUAAUAGCUCACUGGUCGAGUCGGCCUGCGCGGAAGAUGUAACGGGGCUAAACCAUGCAC